GGAAUUUAUGGUAGUUUAUUUUUCAAUAGAUGGAAGAUAUUAAGGAAGAGAGAAAGAGAAGAAAAGGGGAGAGAGAGAGAGCUCCAGCUUCUUCUGAGCCAGGGCCAUGAAGAUUCAGACUGGAAUGGAAUGUUUGGACAAUCACAAAACAAUGAAUAAUGUCACCUAUUUCAAAGAGUUGAUAUGAAGAUCAAAUAAGUUACUAUUUAGCAAAGUGGAAAAUACAACUAGGACUGAGAAGCAGGGAAGAAACUGCUAUUUAAAUGAUGUAAUGAGUGGAGACAUUGGAGGGAAUUAACAACUCAGAAGUCUAUCCCUUGCUUAUCUGGACAGUCCAAUCAAAGACUCCCCUUAGCCUGGCCUUUUUUGAAAGAAAACUCCAGAAACUUGAACUUUCCAGUAUUUUAAAGGACAGACAAAGGCAACACAGAAUUGUUGUAAAUGUGACUGGUAUAGUGAAAUAAUCCAGCUUCCUUCAUGUCCAUCACAAGGAAUAAAAUAUAUUUCCUAUACA
RNAcentral lists this long non-coding RNA (514 nucleotides) under Monodelphis domestica (gray short-tailed opossum). RNAcentral describes it as "lncRNA (ENSMODG00000048995.1)". Lineage: Eukaryota; Metazoa; Chordata; Mammalia; Didelphimorphia; Didelphidae. The record is from RNAcentral.